This 308-nucleotide ribosomal RNA is filed under the name uncultured bacterium. RNAcentral describes it as "bacterial SSU rRNA". It matches the Rfam family "Bacterial small subunit ribosomal RNA", at positions 28 to 334 of the family's 1533-position model. The record is from RNAcentral.
GACGAACGCUGGCGGCGUGCUUUACACAUGCAAGUCGAACGGCAGCACAGGGAGCUUGCUCCCGGGUGGCGAGUGGCGCACGGGUGAGUAAUACAUCGGAACGUGUCCUGUUGUGGGGGAUAACUGCUCGAAAGGGUGGCUAAUACCGCAUGAGACCUGAGGGUGAAAGCGGGGGAUCGCAAGACCUCGCGCAAUUGGAGCGGCCGAUGCCCGAUUAGCUAGUUGGUAAGGUAACGGCUUACCAAGGCGAUGAUGCAUAGCCGAGUUGAGAGACUGAUCGGCCACAAUGGAACUGAGACACGGUCCAG